AUUUAAUUUCAUUAAUUUUGAUUAGGUUUUUUCAUUUUUUGUUUCAAAAACCAUAUUCUUCUAAUCCACAACAAGAACAACCAAAUGCACCUCUUGAAAACCCACAAGAACAACCAAAUGCACCUCCUGAAAACACACAAGAACAACCCCCAAUUCCUCCUUUUGACUGCACACACGAAACAUAGGAGCAAUGAAUUAAUCAGUUAGGACAAAAUACGUCUAAAAUCAAUAGACUGAUUGUUAAAUUGAAAACUUCUGAACUUGAGUAUCAUCAAUCCCUCACCACUAGCCUAGAAACACUAGUUAGUGGUGCCAUAGUUGUUUCCACACAAAUUACCAAAUGGAGAAGCUUUAGGGAUAGGUGUCAUCAAUUCUAUGUCGAUGGGCUAUCAUACGAUGGAGUAAAAAAUAAAAAUAUUACUAAACAACAAAUAUGUGCCCUUUUCGUUGAUCCCAAAACUGGUUAGUCAUUACCUCUUAAUACAAAGAGGUUUCCCAUACAUUGGUGUACCAAUGUGUAGAUGAAGAAUCUUUUUUGGCAGAGAUGGUGGAUGGUCUUUGAUGAUCCACCUUGUACUAAUUAUGAGGUGCCAUUAUAUUUUUUGAGAAAAGUAUAUUGUGAGUUUGUGCUCAAUGUGCACCCAAACUAUUUUGACAUGAGAGAGUUCCAUCGUAGAGGUGGUGGCUUUUCCCAAGAUAGACCUGGAGCCCAUAGGUGAUUACCCACAGAGAGUCAUCGCCCCCUAGCAUCAAAACCCAAGGUGCAUCAGGUUGUCCUAGUAGAGCUGAAAGAGUCAAUGGAUCUACAAACUCUUUAGGCGGCCACAACAUUGACUGGUGCCAUCAUCCAGCAUGGGACGUCAUUAGCACACCCUAUUGUAUUGGAUGAUGAACCAUUAGGUGGCGACAGAGAGCCCAUCCAACAUAUGUGUGUCAGUUGCUUAGGGAUAUGCUCGGGGAUAGAUGAUGCAGUCGGUGUAGAUGGAUCCUCAUCUCAUCUAUGCAUGAUUUGCGGGAGUAGAUGUCAGGCCCGCACGACUGAGGAUUUUGCACUGACAAAUGAGUUGAUGGACAUGGUGUUUGCCCAUGAGUGAGAGACACAGGAUGCAGCAGCGGUAUCCCAUACUCCUCCCCCAGUUACUAUAGUUGCAACUUCGAUGCCUGAGGUGUUGACAGGGGACGAAAUGUCCCAGAUUAAUGACAUCACGCUCUCAGUGAUCGAUUUUGGCCUACAAGGCUAUACGGGUACCCCAUCCGCGUCUAGGGCUCGUCCUAAGAAAAAGAAUUCCUCGAAGAUGCCAAAACGUGGGAAGAAACGGUCAUUAAGCUAUGUGGAUUUAUUGAAUGCACUUGAUUCGCCCAUGGAUAAAGAGAGAGCGGAGG
Molecule: long non-coding RNA, 1383 nt
Organism: Cryptomeria japonica (Japanese cedar)
Lineage: Eukaryota; Viridiplantae; Streptophyta; Pinopsida; Cupressales; Cupressaceae
Exons: 5
Source: RefSeq, a predicted model, not a curated record